This 21-nucleotide non-coding RNA is filed under the name Caenorhabditis elegans. Lineage: Eukaryota; Metazoa; Nematoda; Chromadorea; Rhabditida; Rhabditidae. The record is from RNAcentral.
UGACGAAUUGAAACUAAAGUU